Molecule: long non-coding RNA, 1843 nt
Filed under: Phaseolus vulgaris (common bean)
Lineage: Eukaryota; Viridiplantae; Streptophyta; Magnoliopsida; Fabales; Fabaceae
Description: long non-coding RNA (PVUL_LNC003175)
Source: RNAcentral
UCUAAGUAUGAAAUGACUCAUUUUGAAAAUGUAAUAAAUGAUGUAAAAAACCAGUUUGAGUGUAAGAAUUGAUGUGAACCUAAAAAUGUUCAUGCGAACAAAAAAUUUCAGCUCAAACUCAAAUGAAUCUAUCAAAUUUAUCUCAAACUAAUUCAGAUCAUGCAAUUUUUUUAAAUUGGACAUCUUAUGCAAUUUCUUCAAAUUAUUACAGCAUUAUGAACUCUUAAAUCUAACAUUUCAAUCAGUACAAAAAGAGGCUUUGAAUUCCACGUAACAGUCCUCCUACAACCUCUAACCUCUAAACAACUCAAUCUAUACAAAAAUAACCAUGAAAAUGGAACACAAACUCAAUCUCCAAGUCAACAUAAGCAAGAACCAACUUAAGCAAAACCAAAUAUGAAAAAAAAAAACGAACUAAGGAACUAGUUCUUGCUGAAGUCUUUUGUUUUGCUCAAUAACAAAAUUCCUCUCCUCGGUUACCUUUGAAAUGUGAGUUAUUUCCUGAAACAAAAAAUAAAAGUUCAAAAUGAGAACCAUUUUUCUUUCAUUCAUAUAUCUCUAAAAAAGUUGUCCAAAGCUCUUCUUUGAGGCAGUUAAGAUAACUUCUUCAAUAAUAAUAUAAUUAUUAAUGCAAAUAAAUGACUUGAAUCAAUCCAUUUCAAACAAUUUAUUAUCACGAGCAUUUCCAAAUAACAUGCCUACAUAGGAACCCAAGGAAUAUUACAGCACCACAAGGCUAUCAAAGAAAGAUCAAAAGGUCAAACCAGUGAUAUAAAUAGUAAAUCAAUGCAUAAACAUCAAAGCUUAGAAAUUUAUGCAUUUCAAAAACAUUUGAAAGGUACUUCCAAUAUCUCAAAGUCGUUAUCAAAAUCUUAAAUCAAAUCUGCAUUCUUCAGCAAUCACAAUACAAGAUCAACUUCAUCACUUGCAUCACUUUCCUGGUUAAGUCACGCUCAAAAGACUGGACACUAAUAUUAUACAUUAAGUUAUAAUUUUCAAAAUUGCACUAUGAAUUUGGCAAGUCCAAAUACUUAGACUAGAUUCAGAUGAAAAGCCAUCACAAAACGCCAAAACACGCUAAUUCAGCUAAUAACCAACAAUGAAAAAACACUUCUUACGUUAAAUUAUCGAACUAUGAACAGCUGCAUUUUGUGGGAAGAACUAGUGAGUGACGCCAAAUUAGCCAAAAAUCAGUAAACACAAUAUAUACAGAGGAGGAACUAGUCCCAACCCUUUUACAAGAAAAGAAAAGCUAAGCAGUGCAUAAUUUGAUUAUUGAUGAGCCCUUACACUACUUAACAAACCAAACCCAAUAGCUUCCCUAAGAUAGAUGGAGCAGAGCUACAGUACAGGAUAGAAGCUGUUGUGGAAUACUGCAAAUGACAGCAGGCUCACAACUCUGUUAUGUACAUACCCUUGCUGCAUAAUUAUGCAACAUCUUAAACCAUCUUAUGCACCCCCUCAUGUGCAUCAAAACGUGAUCCCUGCUACACAACCAUCAGAACUUCUUCUCCCAUUCUUCCAGCAUCCUCCACACAAUCUACAACCCUCCUUUAGUUGGCUUCCACACAUGCCAACUGUUUGCAUCCAUCAUGUACACAUCUAUUUCCUACUAGUCUUUGCCUAGUACAGCAUGCUUAACCGGAUCAUGGCCUCACUUAGUCAUCAUAGAUACAACAAUUAAAGGUACCCAAGAAUCCCCCACGCUCCCGUCAGAGCAUUAACUACUCCCUUCAACUAUUGACCUUGUGCAACGGUAGCUCCCAUAUUCCCAGCAUAUCACUGAACCCAGCACACCGAUGACAGAACCCCCUCCUUAUCAUUGCUAUAGUACAUAACCAUC